AUUGAACGCUGGCGGCAUGCCUUACACAUGCAAGUCGAACGGCAGCACGGGAGCUUGCUCCUGGUGGCGAGUGGCGAACGGGUGAGUAAUACAUCGGAACGUACCCUGAAGUGGGGGAUAACGUAGCGAAAGUUACGCUAAUACCGCAUAUUCUGUGAGCAGGAAAGAGGGGGAUCGCAAGACCUCUUGCUUUAGGAGCGGCCGAUGUCGGAUUAGCUAGUUGGUGAGGUAAAGGCUCACCAAGGCGACGAUCCGUAGCGGGUCUGAGAGGAUGAUCCGCCACACUGGGACUGAGACACGGCCCAGACUCCUACGGGAGGCAGCAGUGGGGAAUUUUGGACAAUGGGCGCAAGCCUGAUCCAGCCAUGCCGCGUGCAGGAUGAAGGCCUUCGGGUUGUAAACUGCUUUUGUACGGAACGAAAAGACUACUCUCUAAUACAGGGGUGAAUGACGGUACCGUAACGAAUAAGACACCGGCUAACGUACGUG
Molecule: ribosomal RNA, 489 nt
Filed under: uncultured bacterium
Lineage: Bacteria
Description: bacterial SSU rRNA
Rfam family: Bacterial small subunit ribosomal RNA
Source: RNAcentral